CAGCAGUUGAAACGGCACGUCCUUUUGAACUCAAUAAACGUCUGUAGUCAGUCACAUCAGGUUUCUUUUUUUUUUCCAAAACUAAAAGAGCCAUAAAUAACGACCAACAUUGGUAGUGCCAGAUUGUGAAGCAGAGAAGAAAUCAAUCCUUGCUGUUGUUCCUCGACGAUGAGUCUUGUGCCAUGUAUCCUACAUUGGGAUGCUAGUCUUUCCUGAGAGCUGGAAUUCAAACUGUAGUAGUUUGAAAGGCUUAAUAACAUCAGGGUGUUCAAGUGCACCAUUGUAUGAAAGUGCCAGAAAAGCAGAACAGGCAGGGAGGCAACAAAGGCAGCCAGCAUAUUCCAAAGCACGUGACGCUGGAGGGACAAUAUCACCGUCCACCCACACCACAAAAAGCUUCCUUAGGAAUCCAGGGUGGAACUAUAUGUAAAUCCAGCAGAGGAGUAAGGACGCCCUCUAGAUUUCCAAACAUGGAGGACAGGCCGAGACAGAAGAGCGUGACAAAAAAGAGGACCGCCCACACCUGCGAGGCCGGCAUUUCAAUCACUGCCUCAGUGAAUAAAAUAAAUGCCAGUCCAGUUCCUGAGGCGCUCUAAAGUAUGAUUCAGGUUUACUGGGCAGUCCCUCCAGGGAAGUGGACUCUGAAAGGAAUGGAAGAAGUACCACAGGAUCCAGGCCAAGAUCAUGUUGUAAAACAGUCCAACCAGGAAGGACACCAACAUCGAAGCCACGCCUGUUUUUAAAAAUUCACCAUUAAAAGUUAAUAGAAAUUCUGGAGUCCAGUGGUGUUAAGUAUGACACAAGAUUACUAAUUUUUGACCAUUUUGCAUACCAGACAUUCUCACCUACACCUCCCUGAUAUGGGGAGAUUGAACUCCACACUCCAACGCUUCCCAUGCGUAGCCGCUGUCCAAUGGCCAGUUCCAUGUGCAGCAGGGGAAGUCCCUCAAACACCAAGGCAAUGACAUAAGGAAUCAGAAAUGCCCCUGUAAUUGAUAAGUGGCAAAAUUGCUGUAAUUAGUGAAAAUUACAAACUUACAAAAUAACAAAAAAAAGGUUGGUUUGAUGGUUGAAGGACAUUUAGCUUUUGACAUUUUGUUAUCAGCAGGCGGACCUUUAUCAUGCUCACCUGCACCAGGCAACAGAUCUUAACACCACAUACAGUUGAAGUAUUUCCCCUAAAUAUUUGACUACUAUAAAGUAUGUUCGUGGCACCACCGGUGUUGUAAGGACAUUUUAUCCACAUUAUUUAUGUGUGUUUAUUUUCCCAGUAGGAAUUGUUCUUUUUUAGAGUUUAGAUUAUAGUGAGAUUUAUGUAACAUAUUAAAAUUUACAGUCAUGUUGAAAAAAAUGUCUUCAGAAACUUUAAUCAUUCUCUUCUGGAAAUUUAGAUCAUGAAAAUUAUUUUAAUAUAUUAUCACUGCAACCAAGUCAUUGUGUGUAUUCAAUUGUUAACACAGUGAGAGCAUAUGAAAUAAGACCUAUGUGGAAGCUGAAACCAGAAACCUGUCAGUAUAAAUUAUUUUUAAUACAUGCAUUGUUACUUUAUUAAAAUUUAAAAGUGUAAAAGUAGUAACAUUUAAGAGCAAUGACAAUUUUUG
Oreochromis niloticus (Nile tilapia) is the source of this 1601-nucleotide long non-coding RNA. RefSeq lists it as uncharacterized. The transcript has 4 exons. Lineage: Eukaryota; Metazoa; Chordata; Actinopteri; Cichliformes; Cichlidae. The record is from RefSeq and is a predicted model, not a curated record.